This is a long non-coding RNA of Melospiza melodia melodia, 585 nucleotides long. RefSeq lists it as uncharacterized. NCBI's taxonomy places the organism in Eukaryota, Metazoa, Chordata, Aves, Passeriformes, Passerellidae. The record is from RefSeq and is a predicted model, not a curated record. The transcript is spliced from 4 exons.
CUAUUAUUGCUACCAAGAGCAGUUUAGCAACUCCACACAGCAUGGAGCCCUGCCUGCCAGAGUGGUGGGUGAAUAUUCACUCAGGAAGUUCCUACUGAGCUCCCUGUUGCUCCAGCUAGUUUUUUCUAUAGCACUUACAGUUCCUGAGGCCAGAGAAGAACUCUUCAGUGAGCUUGGUUUCAACAGCAUGCCUGUUCCCCUUGCUGUCUUCUAAUAAAAUUAUUUUGGUGGGAGAUAAUCCAAAGAGCUAUUCCUCAAUCUGUCCCAGAAAAGUGGACCUAGGAUCUGGAAUCUCUCAUUAUCUUUGAUACUCUAUUUUGCUGGAGUUCAGAACUCUGGAGGAAACUUUGCUACAGCCCUUUUUAGCAGGUUUCGACAUCCAGCAGUAACUGGGCAUAUUGACUCUGCUCUGUGCCUCCUGCUUGCCUUGAAACUCCUCAUGCUAGCUUGACCUUGCCACAGGUCAGCUCCACAGCUGUAGCAAGGCAUCCUGUGGUCAUGUAACACUUGCAUUUUUUUUAUCUCCUUACCACUGCAGAUAGUUGUAUUAUAAAUACACAAAUACCAAUAAAGUUAGGGUUUUUU